Molecule: ribosomal RNA, 266 nt
Filed under: Candida albicans
Lineage: Eukaryota; Fungi; Ascomycota; Pichiomycetes; Serinales; Debaryomycetaceae
Also listed under: 1 other name
Description: partial 28S ribosomal RNA
Rfam family: Eukaryotic large subunit ribosomal RNA
Source: RNAcentral
UUUGACCUCAAAUCAGGUAGGACUACCCGCUGAACUUAAGCAUAUCAAUAAGCGGAGGAAAAGAAACCAACAGGGAUUGCCUCAGUAGCGGCGAGUGAAGCGGCAAAAGCUCAAAUUUGAAAUCUGGCGUCUUUGGCGUCCGAGUUGUAAUUUGAAGAAGGUAUCUUUGGGCCCGGCUCUUGUCUAUGUUCCUUGGAACAGGACGUCACAGAGGGUGAGAAUCCCGUGCGAUGAGAUGACCCGGGUCUGUGUAAAGUUCCUUCGAC